This 497-nucleotide ribosomal RNA is filed under the name uncultured bacterium. RNAcentral describes it as "partial 16S ribosomal RNA". It matches the Rfam family "Bacterial small subunit ribosomal RNA", at positions 28 to 507 of the family's 1533-position model. The record is from RNAcentral.
GAUGAACGCUGGCGGCGUGCCUAAUACAUGCAAGUCGAGCGAACAGACGAGGAGCUUGCUCCUCUGACGUUAGCGGCGGACGGGUGAGUAACACGUGGAUAACCUACCUAUAAGACUGGGAUAACUUCGGGAAACCGGAGCUAAUACCGGAUAAUAUAUUGAACCGCAUGGUUCAAUAGUGAAAGACGGUUUUGCUGUCACGUAUAGAUGGAUCCGCGCCGCAUUAGCUAGUUGGUAAGGUAACGGCUUACCAAGGCGCCGAUGCGUAGCCGACCUGAGAGGGUGAUCGGCCACACAGGAACCUAGACACGGUCCAGACUCCUACGGGCGGCAGCAGGAGGGUACUUUCCGCAACGGGCGAAAGCAUGACGGAGCAACGCCGCGUGAGCGAUGAAGGUCUUCGGAUCGUAAAACUCUGUUAUUAGGGAAAAACAAAUGUGUAAGUAACUAUGCACGUCUUGACGGUACCUAAUCAGAAAGCCACGGCUAACUACGUG